This 337-nucleotide long non-coding RNA is filed under the name Mustela putorius furo (domestic ferret). RNAcentral's name for it is "lncRNA (ENSMPUG00000025410.1)". Lineage: Eukaryota; Metazoa; Chordata; Mammalia; Carnivora; Mustelidae. The record is from RNAcentral.
GUGAGAUCGCAGCCAGCCUUCUUGUGUUCUAGAUUCCUGCAAGAAGAACCUGGAUAUGGCCUCAGGAAAGAUAGGGCUCCAGGCCUAGCAUAGAGCCCAACACCACACAUGAACUCACGACCUGAGAUGAUCAAGAUGAUCAAGACCUGAGAUGAGAUCGAGUCAGAUACUUAACUGACUAAGCCACCCAAGGUGCCCCUAAAUUCCCUGAAACUCUAAUUUAACAAUAAAAGCAUACGCACACUGAAACACAGCAUUUUAUCAUAAAUCAUUCUAAUUAUGUAAUUAAAAUAUGCACUUGAAUGGCUCUUGUCAUUUUUAUCUUUAGUUUCUUUUA